GUAACGGCGAGUGAAGCGGCAACAGCUUAAUCGACAAUCCUACGCCUUCUGGCGGUGGAAUUGUAGUCUUGUUGGGUGAACGGCGCCGGUGGACGGCCAAUUCGAUGGAAAUCCAGGUCCCAGAGGGUGAUAGCCCCGUGUGACUGUCCAGUCGGCGCCAUAGUUUACUCAAUCUUCGAGUAGCGUUCCUUGGGAAUGGAGCGUGAAGUGGGUGGUGAUAUCCAUCUAAAGCUAAAUAUUGGCGAGAGACCGAUAGCGAACAAGUACCGUGAGGGAAAGAUGAAAAGCACUUUGGAGAGAGAGUUAAAUAGCCUGUGAAAUCGUUGGAAGCAAGCGAAUCAGUGUGCUUGGACGCGGGUCUUCGCUCGGGAACUCGCUCGGGCGUGCGUGCAGUUCGCUGCGUGCCGCCUGGGUUGCCAGUGCCCGUGCGUGGACUGAGGUUUUGGCGUUCUUACGCGUUCUGAUCCGACCCGUCUUGAAACACGGACCAAGGAGUCUAAUAUGUGUGCGAGUACUCGGGUGCCAAACCCCUGUGCGCAGGUAACCCAAAUCGCGUUAGCCCUACGGGC
RNAcentral lists this ribosomal RNA (569 nucleotides) under Lophospyris aff. ivanovi. Its description in RNAcentral is "partial large subunit ribosomal RNA". It matches the Rfam family "Eukaryotic large subunit ribosomal RNA", at positions 83 to 754 of the family's 3401-position model. Lineage: Eukaryota; Polycystinea; Nassellaria; Trissocyclidae. The record is from RNAcentral.